AUCAACAUCCCCUCGUUUGCAUUUGCUCAUGGAUGACCAAAGAUUCAUACAAACACCGACAAUGCUAACUUAUAUACACUAUCCAAUACUCUGAUGAAGAUAAUUUUACCACGAACUAUGAAAAUACUUUCAUAUUAGGUCCAUCUUCAACACCCACCACUCGCAGGUUCUAUUGAACUCAGAAGCCCAUUACCCCUCAGCUGCAUGCAGUGCUCUUCAGCAUCAGCCUGAGCACAAAUAAUCACCACUGACAAGCCAUUGUAAUGUGCUUCUUGCAUUAUGUUAACUGCAUUAUCAAGAGUCAUUCCAGGGAUAACCUUCAUCA
Molecule: unclassified non-coding RNA, 325 nt
Filed under: Hevea brasiliensis (rubber tree)
Lineage: Eukaryota; Viridiplantae; Streptophyta; Magnoliopsida; Malpighiales; Euphorbiaceae
Source: RNAcentral